UUUUAAGGCGUUUCUAUAUUUGGGGGAAGGGCACACUUGGGUCAGCUUGAUACACUUUCAGUGGCACGACAGCCGGUCACAGUCACUUUUUACCACAUUUCCUGGAUGUACUGGUGCGACGCAACAAGCGCUCCUUGACAUGACAGACGGCGGGAGAGAGCGAGCAGACAGACUCGCGUCAUUGCAGCCCAAGUGUCUACUUGGACCCGACAAGUAAGUCCUACUUAAUACCUUUUUGCAAUCAAUUCUCAAAAUUAGCAUAUUAUCUUAUCCGUCAAAAUUGCUUCUUUUUUUUUUGGUGUUAAACAAAACAAAAACAGGUUAAAAAGCAAAACAGCUCGCAACUUCCGAUGUGAACAAAUGAAUAAGACAAGGGAAGUAACAGGAUCACAUUAAGGUGGAUGGAUACAUGUUGAAGAAAUGGCUUUAAUAUAUAUAUAUAUAUAUAUAUAUAUAUAUAUAUACUGUAUUUCUUGAAUUUCAUUGCUCAUUCCAUAUGAAGCAUUGCUAAUAUAGAUUAAAAGUGAAUCAUAAUGAAUCCACAGCAGCCCUGUGAUUAAUCUAAACGUUUGUUUCUGUACUUCGCACCUGAUUAUCAGGUUUGGGUAGAGAUAGCAUAGACUCAUGCUUUACAUUUAUGAAAAAGUGUUUCAAAGCAACCUCAGUUCACGUAUUUUGUCUUAAGAGUGAAACUGUGACUUUUGUAGGUCUUAGCUUUGCAGCUAGCUUGCCCCCUCCACCAAGUAUGAAAGGGGGCUGAGAAUCAAACUUGUUUUGGCUUGUUGACAAUCAUAGCUUUUUGAGUGCACCACCACACACUUGAAGCAAGACGGUAGCCGCCUUGGCCCUCAAUAGACCAGGAGAACCAUGUCUGCCAGAUCUUUCAGCUGUAACUCCAAACAUUUUCAUGAAAUGUAAAAUAUAUAGAACCAACAAACUGUUAACGUCCUAACGUUUUUUUCCUUCUGUUUUUAGUUGGAAGAUUUGUGACGGCCCUCAGAUGACGCACUGAAAAAAGCGAAACACGACCGCAGAAGUAGAAAGUGCACCUUGACAGUACCCAGGCCAGAGACCACCGGGGCCCAUGUGACCCUGAGUCAGCCUAUGAGUCAGAUUCAUCGGAUAAACCAAUGUCCACACGGGCCACAGACAAGCAGACACGUCCGAGAAGAAUGCAAGGGCGACGGCCUGGCAAGAGGAAGACGUGGGAUGAGGAGGUUUCUGCUGUGGAAAGACACAUGAUGUCCUUUAUCACAACAUGCCGGGUACCUGGUAAAGCUGAUUGUGAUAACUGUUUGGACUUGGAGACAACAGCUCUUCGAAACAGGAAUUGGCUUGACAUUGAAUCUUAUGUCAAAAAUGGCAUUACAGCUUUGAGAAAAGGAGGUUUGAAGCGGUAGUUGGCAAUGAAAUGUUUUGUUUUUAUUGAGCCCACAUCUCUACAUAGAAGAACAAGAAUGUGUUUCCACUUAUAAUUUUGAGUCAGUUUCAUUUAAAUGAUUGGUUCACAUUGUAAUGUUAAUGUUUUAAAAAAACUGCUUGAGUUUACAAAACAAUGUUUUGAUAUAAUUUAUUUUUCUUGCAUGAUAGCAGGGCUGUCCAACUAUUAAAAAUAGAUCUUGAUUUGCAAUGUCUGUCUGUCACUUAAGACGGCUCGUUGUGAUUGAAAGCUUAGACAUGGCAUCAUGGGAACUGACUGAGAGAGUUAUGUGUUGCAACUUAGUCUAACAGACUUAAAGAAUACGAGAUGAGACUUUGCACUUAAAAUCGCGCAUUUUUGUGUCUUAUCAAUUCAACUCACAUAUUCAAAUUCAUAUAAAGUAUGAAUAUUUACCUUAGUACUCUCUUUCAGUGACUAUUAUCUUAUCUUAUUUGCAUACCUGCCAACUACUCCGGUUUUCCCGUAAUUAGUACGGUUUUCAUCAACCUAUUCCGGGUUACGGUUGCAGUGAUAAAAAAUACGGUUUUUCAUUAAUUAAAAAAAAAAAAUUUUUUUAAGUUUUAUUCACGAAAUCGCGUAACAACAAUGACAAUCGACACUGCUUCCCGUAACUUCCUAUCGAGCCAUUCCGAAUGCCUUGCGCGAGGCUAUUUAUAGCACCGCUGCCAAGCACGAGGCACCAGUUGCCAUUGUUUCCAAACGAGCGAACGAUCAUGGAAUCAGCCGGAGAAAAAUCGCAAACGAGUCUUAAACCGAAAAGAAA
Molecule: long non-coding RNA, 2204 nt
Organism: Nerophis lumbriciformis (worm pipefish)
Lineage: Eukaryota; Metazoa; Chordata; Actinopteri; Syngnathiformes; Syngnathidae
Source: RefSeq, a predicted model, not a curated record